Molecule: ribosomal RNA, 253 nt
Filed under: uncultured bacterium
Lineage: Bacteria
Description: partial 16S ribosomal RNA
Rfam family: Bacterial small subunit ribosomal RNA
Source: RNAcentral
UACGAAGGGGGCUAGCGUUGCUCGGAAUUACUGGGCGUAAAGGGCUCGUAGGGGGCCAACUAAGUCGGACGUGAAAUCCCUCGGCUUAACCGGGGAACUGCGUCCGAUACUGGUUGGCUUGAGUUUGGGAGAGGGAUGCGGAAUUCCAGGUGUAGCGGUGAAAUGCGUAGAUAUCUGGAGGAACACCGGUGGCGAAGGCGGCAGCCUGGACCAAUACUGACGCUGAGGAGCGAAAGCCAGGGGAGCAAACGGG